UGGAGGGAGAGUCCUUGGAGCAAGUUUAGAACCAGGACCCAGAAGAAAGGGUCAAGGGAGAAUCUCUCUGGUGUCUUGCAGCUAGGAGCAUGGGGGGAACCCUUCUCUUGCUUUUGCUUUCCCAACUUCCUGCUCACCUGUCCUGUGCCCACAUGAAGCAGGAGGUCUCUGUCACAGGCAUUCAGGGGAGCUCAGCUCCAAUCUCCUGUCAGGUCUCUAAUGCUGCUUCCAGCUGGAUACACUGGUACCGGUUUCAGGAUGGGAAGCCCCCCCAGCGCCUUCUCUACUUGUCCCGGGAAUCAGGCGAGCUGCGUUUUGAUGAGGGCUUUGGCAGUAAUAAAUUCCAUGCUUUUAAGGAUCAGUUUAAUGGUGAGAAGUUUAUCUUGUUAAUCAAAAAGCUGGAAGUGAGAGACAGUGGCAUGUAUUACUGCGCUAUCUGGGACGACCACGGUGCACCAGGAUGCAUCUCCUCCCUACACAAAAGGCCCUGCUGGCAGCAACUUGGAGCAGCUGGUGCUGAACAAAGCAGGGAAAGCUUCUGCUUCAACCCUACCCUGUCCUUACUCUCCUCAGCCUGUGCAGGACCUCAGCCAAUCUUCCCUCCAUGGAUGGAGAAAGUCCUUCCUCGAGCCCAACAUACCCCACCACCCUCCUCUCAUCUAAACCCUUGA
Molecule: non-coding RNA, 671 nt
Organism: Monodelphis domestica (gray short-tailed opossum)
Lineage: Eukaryota; Metazoa; Chordata; Mammalia; Didelphimorphia; Didelphidae
Source: the annotation of a RefSeq genome assembly